CGGAGGGUCCAAGCGUUAAUCGGAAUUACUGGGCGUAAAGCGCGCGUAGGUGGAUAAUUAAGUCAGAUGUGAAAGCCCUGGGCUCAACCUAGGAACGGCAUUUGAUACUGGUUAUCUAGAGUAUGGUAGAGGUGAGUGGAAUUUCAGGUGUAGCGGUGAAAUGCGUAGAGAUCUGAAGGAACAUCAGUGGCGAAGGCGACUCACUGGGCCAUUACUGACACUGAGGUGCGAAAGCGUGGGUAGCAAACAGGAUU
This 254-nucleotide ribosomal RNA is filed under the name uncultured bacterium. RNAcentral's name for it is "partial 16S ribosomal RNA". It matches the Rfam family "Bacterial small subunit ribosomal RNA", at positions 526 to 779 of the family's 1533-position model. The record is from RNAcentral.